UACGAAGGGUGCAAACGUUGCUCGGAAUCAUUGGGCGUAAAGCGCACGUAGGCGGCCCGAUAAGUCGGAUGUGAAAUCCCUCGGCUCAACCGAGGACGUGCAUUCGAAACUGUCGGGCUCGAGUAUGGAAGAGGGUCGCGGAAUUCCCGGUGUAGAGGUGAAAUUCGUAGAUAUCUGGAGGAACACCGGUGGCGAAAGCGCUCAUCUGGCCCAAUACUGACGCUGAGGCGCGAAAGCUAGGGGAGCAAACGGG
RNAcentral lists this ribosomal RNA (253 nucleotides) under uncultured bacterium. Its description in RNAcentral is "partial 16S ribosomal RNA". It matches the Rfam family "Bacterial small subunit ribosomal RNA", at positions 524 to 776 of the family's 1533-position model. The record is from RNAcentral.